Astatotilapia calliptera (eastern happy) is the source of this 1631-nucleotide long non-coding RNA. The record is from Ensembl. Lineage: Eukaryota; Metazoa; Chordata; Actinopteri; Cichliformes; Cichlidae.
UGUAAUCUACACCAGAAGAGCUCAUGAAUGUUCAGAGAAUGCUUAAGUGAAAGGGGAAAUCGCCAGCAGGUACCCGUUUCUGUUUUCUUCUUGUUUGUGGGACUACUCUUCCCAUGAGACAGUCACUUGAUUUGAGACCAGCCGAUUGCCUCCAGUGCGUUGUGUUGGUGAGUAGAACAGCAAAUCUUAGAGAGGACAGAUGCAGCACUUAUGAAGAGAGCCUCACUGAGACACUUUAGGUGAAGCAGAAAUAUCUUUGGGUCUCUUAAACACAGCGAGGAGCAGGAAUAAACUCUGAACAGAAGUCUUACUGAACAGCACCACCGACAGUUUGCGCCUGCAUCCACUGGCCAGUUUUAGUGUGCCUCCGUGUUCAUUGUGUGGGGGGCAAAUUUAAAUCUGCCGUAUGGCCCCGCUCAGUUUGAACUCAAUUGAAGCUUGGCCAUGUACAUUUGCUUGACUUUAACCUUUGUUCCAACACAGCUGAUUUAAAUGACCUCAACAUGUCUUGAAGUUCUUCAGAGGCUGGUAAUGAACCAAUCAUCUGACUCAGGUGUGCUGACCCAGGGUGAGAUCUAAAACCUGCAGGACACCAGCUCUCAAGGCCUGGAGGUCCCCACCCCUGGUUUAGACUCUGUGAUGGAGAUCCGAGCUAGUAGCAAACACCACUGUCAUAAAGGAAGUAGCUUCAGCAUGGAGAUGGUUGCUGUUCGUUUAUAAGUGAUCAGAUGUUCGGUGAAUCAAACAGCAGGUCUACCUGAGCUGUGGAAGCUUCUGCAACCUUGGCAUGCAUUUGCAGCCGAUGCUACAUUCAAACUAUGAACUGGUUGAAGGAGCAGUACACUCAUUGUUGCUUUCUGUGAGAGAUAUGUGAGAUUCUGGGAACCGGCACAAUACCAGCAGCUGACUUUAAAGUAUUUUGUGUGUACACUUAGAUUCUGCCUUUUGUUGUUUUCUGUGCCAUGAUAUAUACUCACAACGUAGGGCGCACUUUCCCUCCACAGAAAUGUCACGGAGGGCUUUUCCAUUUACCACUACUCUCGUAUAUAUUACUGUGUUUAAGUAUGUGCCGCUGAACCGUUUAUUCCAGUAACACUUAUGGACUUCAGCUCCAUCAGCCUGUGCGAUGAUGAAGCCUUUGGGCAAAAUUAACUGAAGUAUUUGUGUCUUAUUUGUGCAUGACGUAUAACAAAACUACAGAAUUCUUAUUGAUGAAAAUAUAGCGUAAAAUCAAACCCUUACUGACACUGCACUUCACAGCACAACAGGGUUCAGAGUCUGCUGAUAGUUUAAGGUAGGAGAUGCAAAUCUGCUGCUUUUCCUCGUCUUACUGUAAAAUAGGAGAGUCCUCAGAGGAUGCAGCUUUAAAGGGCAUCAUUGGAUCCUUUGGCCAUGCUAUAUUUGUCCAUCACAAUUCAAAUAAUGAUAUGGUAUUUUUUCCUUAAUCUUACAAUCUUAAUCUUGCUUUUUUCCCGUUUUUGGCCACAUAAUGAAACAUUUAAGUGUUUGAAAAUGUUUGAUUUUAUAAUAUUGUUCAAGUAAACAGGUUACACCAAAUCUUUACAAGUCUAUGUGUAUACUUCUUUGUUAUUGUAUUAAUCACUUGCCUGAUGCUGAUCCCUUGUGUCAAC